RNAcentral lists this ribosomal RNA (740 nucleotides) under uncultured bacterium. RNAcentral's name for it is "bacterial SSU rRNA". It matches the Rfam family "Bacterial small subunit ribosomal RNA", at positions 8 to 796 of the family's 1533-position model. The record is from RNAcentral.
AGAGUUUGAUCAUGGCUCAGAACGAACGCUGGCGGCAGGCUUAACACAUGCAAGUCGAACGCACCUUCGGGUGAGUGGCAGACGGGUGAGUAACGCGUGGGAACGUGCCCUUCAGUUCGGAAUAACCCAGGGAAACUUGGGCUAAUACCGGAUACGUGCGAGAGCAGAAAGAUUUAUCGCUGAAGGAUCGGCCCGCGUCUGAUUAGCUAGUUGGUGGGGUAAUGGCCCACCAAGGCGACGAUCAGUAGCUGGUCUGAGAGGAUGAUCAGCCACAUUGGGACUGAGACACGGCCCAAACUCCUACGGGAGGCAGCAGUGGGGAAUAUUGGACAAUGGGCGCAAGCCUGAUCCAGCCAUGCCGCGUGAGUGAUGAAGGCCUUAGGGUUGUAAAGCUCUUUCGUCCGGGACGAUAAUGACGGUACCGGAAGAAGAAGCCCCGGCUAACUUCGUGCCAGCAGCCGCGGUAAUACGAAGGGGGCUAGCGUUGUUCGGAAUCACUGGGCGUAAAGGGCGCGUAGGCGGCUUGAUAAGUCGGGGGUGAAAGCCUGUGGCUCAACCACAGAAUUGCCUUCGAUACUGUCUGGCUUGAGACCGGAAGAGGUAAGUGGAACUGCGAGUGUAGAGGUGAAAUUCGUAGAUAUUCGCAAGAACACCAGUGGCGAAGGCGGCUUACUGGUCCGGUUCUGACGCUGAGGCGCGAAAGCGUGGGGAGCAAACAGGAUUAGAUACCCUAGUAGUCC